UGCUUGAGAAAUAACAUAAUACCUCUUAAGUGACUGGCAAGCAGCACAAAAAGUUAUCAAUCUUCCUUUUCAGAUUAGGAUGGUGUAGAUGUGAAUUCCUGGCCUGAUCGCAUUCUGACAGUGAAAGUGGAGGAGUGUAAUCUGAACACUCCCAAGUGAAAACAAGGGAGGCAGAAGCAGGAAAAGAGGAGUAGAAGUAGUGCAGGAACAUAUCCUGUUGUGAGCUGUCUCAAGAGAAGCCAGCUUUUACACCUGACAAUAGGCAAGUAACUUGAAACACAAAAAUAUAUAGGCUGUUUAUCUGUGUUCCUGUUUACAUAAAUUCAGAAACUUUCUGAAUGCAUU
RNAcentral lists this long non-coding RNA (345 nucleotides) under Apteryx owenii (little spotted kiwi). RNAcentral describes it as "lncRNA (ENSAOWG00000014318.1)". Lineage: Eukaryota; Metazoa; Chordata; Aves; Apterygiformes; Apterygidae. The record is from RNAcentral.